AGUCGUAACAAGGUUUCCGUAGGUGAACCUGCGGAAGGAUCAUUAAUGAUGCCGACAUUCAUGUUGGUUGGGUCUUCGGACUCUCUUCUAUACACCGUGAACUGUGGCUUCGGCCAUUACAAACUGUUAGUAAUGAAUGUAAUAUCAUAACAAACAUAAAACUUUUAACAACGGAUCUCUUGGCUCUCGCAUCGAUGAAGAACGCAGCGAAAUGCGAUAAGUAAUGUGAAUUGCAGAAUUCAGUGAAUCAUCGAAUCUUUGAACGCACCUUGCGCCCUUUGGUAUUCCGAAGGGCAUGCCUGUUUGAGUGUCAUGAAACCUCACCCCACUUGGGUUUUUGCCUGAGCGGUGGUGGAUUGGGUGUUUGCCUUUGUUGGCUCGCCUGAAAUGCAUAAGCGCCUUGGAUGUAAUACGUUUCAUCCUUUUGGGUGGCUUCUAACCCCACAUAUUCAUGAUCUGGCCUCAAAUCAGGUAGGGCUACCCGCUGAACUUAAGCAUAUCAAUAAGCGGAGGAAAAGAAACUAACUAGGAUUCCCUUAGUAACGGCGAGUGAACCGGGAUGAGCUCAAAUUUAAAAUCUGGCGUCUUUCAGGCGUCCGAGUUGUAAUCUAUAGAGGCGUUUUCCGCGCCGGACCGCGUCCAAGUCCCUUGGA
This 653-nucleotide unclassified non-coding RNA is filed under the name Vishniacozyma peneaus. RNAcentral describes it as "sequence contains 18S rRNA gene, ITS1, 5.8S rRNA gene, ITS2, 28S rRNA gene". The stretch from base 160 to 313 matches the Rfam family "5.8S ribosomal RNA". Lineage: Eukaryota; Fungi; Basidiomycota; Tremellomycetes; Tremellales; Bulleribasidiaceae. The record is from RNAcentral.